This is a long non-coding RNA of Pipistrellus kuhlii (Kuhl's pipistrelle), 1147 nucleotides long. RefSeq lists it as uncharacterized. NCBI's taxonomy places the organism in Eukaryota, Metazoa, Chordata, Mammalia, Chiroptera, Vespertilionidae. The transcript has 2 exons. The record is from RefSeq and is a predicted model, not a curated record.
AAAGAUCAAAGCAAACCAUACUUUCAGAAGAAAUCAAAUGCUUCUUCUUAUGUUUAAUGGAAUGCUACAGGAUGUUGUUCAUCAGAAGUACCUGGGUUACAAGCUAUUUGUCUUACCCAGCUAAUUCUGACAUAUACUAAAGCUUGAGACAGGGUGUAAGUCACUUUCAGCUCUUCCAAUGAUUCAUGGACAGCUCUAGGCAAGUCUCUUAAUCCAUGUUUUAUUUUCCAUAGGUAUAAAGUAAGGAUAACUUUUCCACCACCAACUGCCAUUCUUGUGAAGAUGAAAGAACUUAAGAAAAUGCUUCAGAAUACAUAAACAUGUCAUUAUUAUUUUUCUCUAUUCAGAAGUUAAUGUCUUAAAACUAGUUUUUAUAAACUACUAGAAAGUGAAAUAAACAUGAUACUGAAGUAGCUUUUCUUUUAUAAUAGGUUGUUCCCUUUACCUUUAAUUCAUGCAUCUGAGUUGCUGAGAUAUAAGAUGGUAGGACCACAGAAGAGCAUCCUAGCUGAGCUCAUUGUACUUGACUUUUGUCAACUCCAGCUUACCCUCACAUUGAUGCACUCAUUCUUCAAAAUAAAGAAAACUUACCAUAACUCUUCUGCUUGCAAACUUCUGGUGGCAUGCAACUGCCUUCAGACUAAAAUCUAAAUGCUUUGGCUUAAGAAACAAGGCCCUCCACAUUUUGCUUCAAGCUACUCUUGUUCUGAUGCUGCAGUCCCUACACCCAGACACUAAGCAUAUCAUCAAUCACUGAAUCCUACAAGCUCUUUCAUGACUAUAUGCCCAGGAUACUUCAUUUACAUGUCUAUUACUAUUAUACCUAAUACGUUCUAUGGUAAUUAGUCUGCUACAUGACUGUUUCACUUCUGAGUCUUAGGGCUACUUGAAGGCAAGGAGGACAGCUUCUCGGAAGCCCUGGUGUCUCAGCCUGGCUUGGCACAGAGGAGGCACUCCAUAAGUGCUGGAUGACUGAAUGAGUGAACUUCAUUGUAGAACAUUAUCUUAUUUUUUAAGUGUUUGAUGUGGAGUCCCAAAAACACAGGUCUUUGAAAAGCAGGCUGAAAGCAAGUUAUUUUACUUCUUUUGAUCCUCCACUGCAUAAUAAAGCUUAUAAUGAGUGUUCAAUAAAACUUUAUAACAUUUA